RNAcentral lists this ribosomal RNA (513 nucleotides) under uncultured bacterium. RNAcentral's name for it is "bacterial SSU rRNA". It matches the Rfam family "Bacterial small subunit ribosomal RNA", at positions 996 to 1509 of the family's 1533-position model. The record is from RNAcentral.
CUUAGCAGAGAUGCUUUGGUGCCUUCGGGAACUCUGAGACAGGUGCUGCAUGGCUGUCGUCAGCUCGUGUUGUGAAAUGUUGGGUUAAGUCCCGCAACGAGCGCAACCCUUAUCCUUUGUUGCCAGCGAUUCGGUCGGGAACUCAAAGGAGACUGCCGGUGAUAAACCGGAGGAAGGUGGGGAUGACGUCAAGUCAUCAUGGCCCUUACGGCCAGGGCUACACACGUGCUACAAUGGCGCAUACAAAGAGAAGCGACCUCGCGAGAGCAAGCGGACCUCAUAAAGUGCGUCGUAGUCCGGAUUGGAGUCUGCAACUCGACUCCAUGAAGUCGGAAUCGCUAGUAAUCGUAGAUCAGAAUGCUACGGUGAAUACGUUCCCGGGCCUUGUACACACCGCCCGUCACACCAUGGGAGUGGGUUGCAAAAGAAGUAGGUAGCUUAACCUUCGGGAGGGCGCUUACCACUUUGUGAUUCAUGACUGGGGUGAAGUCGUAACAAGGUAAGCGUAGUGCU